GAGUUUGAUUCUGGCUCAGGAUGAACGCUGGCGGCGUGCUUAACACAUGCAAGUCGAACGAAGCGGGAAGGAAGAAGUUUUUCGAAAUGGAUUUUUUCUUUGCUUAGUGGCGGACGGGUGCGUAACACGUAGGUAACCUGCCCUGUGCUUGGGAAUAACUCCGGGAAACCGGUGCUAAUGCCGAAUAAUAUCGCCUGUCGGCAUCGAGAGGCGAUCAAAGAAUGUUGGCACAGGAUGGGCCUGCGCCGGAUUAGCUGGUUGGUGAGGUAACGGCUCACCAAGGCGACGAUCCGUAGCCGACCUGAGAGGGUGAUCGGCCACACUGGAACUGAGACACGGUCCAGACUCCUACGGGAGGCAGCAGUGGGGAAUAUUGCACAAUGGGGGAAACCCUGAUGCAGCAACGCCGCGUGAGCGAUGAAGGCUUUCGAGUCGUAAAGCUCUGUCCUAUGGGAAGAUG
RNAcentral lists this ribosomal RNA (460 nucleotides) under Peptostreptococcaceae bacterium canine oral taxon 071. RNAcentral's name for it is "bacterial SSU rRNA". It matches the Rfam family "Bacterial small subunit ribosomal RNA", at positions 9 to 450 of the family's 1533-position model. Lineage: Bacteria; Bacillati; Bacillota; Clostridia; Peptostreptococcales; Peptostreptococcaceae. The record is from RNAcentral.